CCGGCAAACCGUUCUAUCGCUGCUUUGUAAAAAGGAGAGGAAAGUCCGGGCAACAUAGAGUAACAUACUUCCUAACGGGAAGAAGGUCGAAAGACUUUAGUAGUAGAACAGAAAAGAACCGCCUUCGGGUAAGGGUGAAAAGGUGAGGUAAGAGCUCACCAGCACUGAUGGUGACAUUGGUGGCUGUGUACCUUAUGUGUUGCAAGAUCAAGUACACCGGCGUAUGUAGGCUGACUCGGCUGAUGUUCGGGGGGUGGAUUGCUCGAGACAUUUGGUGACAAAUGUUCUAGAUAAAUGAUAGAAAUUCUUUUCGGAGAAUACAGGACCCGGCUUACAGGUUUGCCUUUUUU
Molecule: RNase P RNA, 350 nt
Filed under: Labilibaculum euxinicum
Lineage: Bacteria; Pseudomonadati; Bacteroidota; Bacteroidia; Marinilabiliales; Marinifilaceae
Description: Labilibaculum euxinus RNase P RNA component class A
Rfam family: Bacterial RNase P class A
About the family: Ribonuclease P (RNase P) is a ubiquitous endoribonuclease, found in archaea, bacteria and eukarya as well as chloroplasts and mitochondria. Its best characterised activity is the generation of mature 5'-ends of tRNAs by cleaving the 5'-leader elements of precursor-tRNAs. Cellular RNase Ps are ribonucleoproteins.
Source: RNAcentral